GACGAACGCUGGCGGCGUGCUUAACACAUGCAAGUCGAACGCUGAAGCCCUGGCUUUUGUUGGGUUGGUUGAGUGGCGAACGGGUGAGUAACACGUGAGUAACCUGCCCUCUUCUUUGGGAUAACGCCCGGAAACGGGUGCUAAUACUGGAUAUUCACUGGCCUUCGCAUGGGGGUUGGUGGAAAGGUUUGUUCUGGUGGGGGAUGGGCUCGCGGCCUAUCAGCUUGUUGGUGGGGUGAUGGCCUACCAAGGCUUUGACGGGUAGCCGGCCUGCGAGGGUGACCGGUCACAUUGGGACGGAGAGACGGCCCAGACUCCUACGGGAGGCAGCAGUGGGGAAUAUUGCACAAUGGGCGAAAGCCUGAUGCAGCGACGCAGCGUGAGGGAGGGAGGCCUUCGGGGUGUAAAACUCUUUCGCGCAUGGUCAAGCCGCAACUGUGGGUUGUGGUGAGGGUAGUGGGUAAAGAAGCGCCGGCUAACUACGUG
This 486-nucleotide ribosomal RNA is filed under the name uncultured bacterium. Its description in RNAcentral is "partial 16S ribosomal RNA". It matches the Rfam family "Bacterial small subunit ribosomal RNA", at positions 28 to 507 of the family's 1533-position model. The record is from RNAcentral.